This 327-nucleotide ribosomal RNA is filed under the name uncultured eukaryote. Its description in RNAcentral is "partial 18S ribosomal RNA". It matches the Rfam family "Eukaryotic small subunit ribosomal RNA", at positions 1470 to 1796 of the family's 1831-position model. The record is from RNAcentral.
CCCUUAGAUGUUCUGGGCCGCACGCGCGCUACACUGACGAAUGCAACGAGCUUAUAACCUUGGCCGAAAGGUCUGGGUAAUCUCCAAAUUUCGUCGUGAUGGGGAUAGAUUAUUGCAAUUAUUAAUCUUCAACGAGGAAUGCCUAGUAAGCGCAAGUCAUCAGCUUGCGUUGAUUACAUCCCUGCCCUUUGUACACACCGCCCGUCGCUCCUACCGAUUGAAUGGUCCGGUGAAGCGCUCGGACCGCGGCCUCUUGACGGUUUUCCGUCGAUUGGCUGUGGGAAGUUCGUUAAACCUUAUCAUUUAGAGGAAGGAGAAGUCGUAACA